This 68-nucleotide transfer RNA is filed under the name Porotermes quadricollis. RNAcentral describes it as "tRNA-Val". The record is from RNAcentral. Lineage: Eukaryota; Metazoa; Arthropoda; Insecta; Blattodea; Termopsidae.
CAGGCUAGUAUUUAGUAAUAAUUUUCAUUUACACUGAAGGGUAUGUCGUGCGAUUCGAUGUGGUCUGA